GGCAACGUGCCAGAGUGGUUAAUGGGUUAGACUCGAAUUGACGAUAUCUAAUGACUUCGGUCGCACAGGUUCGAAUCCUGUCGUUGUCG
Molecule: transfer RNA, 89 nt
Filed under: Hypomontagnella monticulosa
Lineage: Eukaryota; Fungi; Ascomycota; Sordariomycetes; Xylariales; Hypoxylaceae
Description: tRNA-Ser
Rfam family: tRNA
About the family: Transfer RNA (tRNA) molecules are approximately 80 nucleotides in length. Their secondary structure includes four short double-helical elements and three loops (D, anti-codon, and T loops). Further hydrogen bonds mediate the characteristic L-shaped molecular structure. tRNAs have two regions of fundamental functional importance: the anti-codon, which is responsible for specific mRNA codon recognition, and the 3' end, to which the tRNAs corresponding amino acid is attached (by aminoacyl-tRNA synthetases). tRNAs cope with the degeneracy of the genetic code in two manners: having more than one tRNA (with a specific anti-codon) for a particular amino acid; and 'wobble' base-pairing, i.e. permitting non-standard base-pairing at the 3rd anti-codon position.
Source: RNAcentral